GGCCUGGUGGUCUAGUAGUAUGAUUCCUUCUUAGGGCUUGGUUGCCAUUUGGAGGAGGUCCCGGGUUCAAUUCCCGGCCAGGCCC
Non-coding RNA from Russula vinacea, 85 nucleotides. The record is from the annotation of a GenBank genome assembly. Lineage: Eukaryota; Fungi; Basidiomycota; Agaricomycetes; Russulales; Russulaceae.